RNAcentral lists this transfer RNA (69 nucleotides) under Loxodonta africana (African savanna elephant). It matches the Rfam family "tRNA". Rfam says of the family: Transfer RNA (tRNA) molecules are approximately 80 nucleotides in length. The record is from Rfam by way of RNAcentral. Lineage: Eukaryota; Metazoa; Chordata; Mammalia; Proboscidea; Elephantidae.
GCAUGGGUGGUUCAGUGGUAGAAUUCUUACCUUCGCUGGAAGACCCAGGUUCAAUUCCUGGCUGACGCA